This 689-nucleotide ribosomal RNA is filed under the name uncultured bacterium. RNAcentral's name for it is "bacterial SSU rRNA". It matches the Rfam family "Bacterial small subunit ribosomal RNA", at positions 158 to 860 of the family's 1533-position model. The record is from RNAcentral.
UGGUUUUAUUACCGGAUGGUACCGCACCCUUAGGGUUUGGUGGAAAUUUUUUUGGGUGUGGGGAUGGGCCCGCGGCCUAUCAGUUUUUUGGUGGGGUAAUGGCCUACCAAGGCGGCGACGGGUAGCCGGCCUGAGAGGGUGGACGGCCCACAUUGGGACUGAGACACGGCCCAGACUCCUACGGGAGGCAGCAGUGGGGAAUAUUGCACAAUGGGCGGAAGCGUGAUGCAGCGACGCCGCGUGGGGGAUGACGGCCUUCGGGUUGUAAACUCCUUUCACCAUCGACGAGGGUUUUCUGACGGUAGAUGGAGAAGAAGCACCGGCUAACUACGUGCCAGCAGCCGCGGUAAUACGUAGGGUGCGAGCGUUGUCCGGAAUUACUGGGCGUAAAGAGCUCGUAGGUGGUUUGUCGCGUCGUCUGUGAAAUUCCGGGGCUUAACUCCGGGCGUGCAGGCGAUACGGGCAUAACUUGAGUACUGUAGGGGAGACUGGAAUUCCUGGUGUAGCGGUGAAAUGCGCAGAUAUCAGGAGGAACACCGGUGGCGAAGGCGGGUCUCUGGGCAGUAACUGACGCUGAGGAGCGAAAGCAUGGGUAGCGAACAGGAUUAGAUACCCUGGUAGUCCAUGCCGUAAACGGUGGGCGCUAAGUGUAGGGGUCUUCCACGACUUCUGUGCCGUAGCUAACGCAU